UGGGGAAUAUUGGACAAUGGGCGCAAGCCUGAUCCAGCCAUGCCGCGUGAGUGAUGAAGGCCCUAGGGUUGUAAAGCUCUUUCAACGGUGAAGAUAAUGACGGUAACCGUAGAAGAAGCCCCGGCUAACUUCGUGCCAGCAGCCGCGGUAAUACGAAGGGGGCUAGCGUUGUUCGGAAUUACUGGGCGUAAAGCGCACGUAGGCGGAUCGAUCAGUUAGGGGUGAAAUCCCAGGGCUCAACCCGGGAACUGCCUCUAAUACUGUCGAUCUCGAGUUCGAGAGAGGGGAGUGGAAUUCCGAGGGUAGAGGUGAAAUUCGUAGAUAUUCGGAGGAACACCAGUGGCGAAGGCGGCUCACUGGCUCGAUACUGACGCUGAGGUGCGAAAGCGUGGGGAGCAAACA
This 402-nucleotide ribosomal RNA is filed under the name uncultured prokaryote. RNAcentral describes it as "bacterial SSU rRNA". It matches the Rfam family "Bacterial small subunit ribosomal RNA", at positions 355 to 774 of the family's 1533-position model. The record is from RNAcentral.